Molecule: ribosomal RNA, 498 nt
Filed under: uncultured Streptococcus sp.
Lineage: Bacteria; Bacillati; Bacillota; Bacilli; Lactobacillales; Streptococcaceae
Description: bacterial SSU rRNA
Rfam family: Bacterial small subunit ribosomal RNA
Source: RNAcentral
GACGAACGCUGGCGGCGUGCCUAAUACAUGCAAGUAGAACGCUGAAGAGAGGAGCUUGCUCUUCUUGGAUGAGUUGCGAACGGGUGAGUAACGCGUAGGUAACCUGCCUAGUAGCGGGGGAUAACUAUUGGAAACGAUAGCUAAUACCGCAUAACAAUGGAUGACUCAUGUCAUUUAUUUGAAGGGGGCAAAUGCUCCACUACAAGAUGGACCUGCGUUGUAUUAGCUAGUAGGUGAGGUAACGGCUCACCUAGGCGACGAUACAUAGCCGACCUGAGAGGGUGAUCGGCCACACUGGGACUGAGACACGGCCCAGACUCCUACGGGAGGCAGUAGUAGGGAAUCUUCGGCAAUGGGGGCAACCCUGACCGAGCAACGCCGCGUGAGUGAAGAAGGUUUUCGGAUCGUAAAGCUCUGUUGUAAGUCAAGAACGAGUGUGAGAGUGGAAAGUUCACACUGUGACGGUAGCUUACCAGAAAGGGACGGCUAACUACGUGC